CGCGGCCUAUCAGCUUGUUGGUGGGGUAACGGCCCACCAAGGCUUCGACGGGUAGCUGGUCUGAGAGGACGAUCAGCCACACUGGGACUGAGACACGGCCCAGACUCCUACGGGAGGCAGCAGUGGGGAAUCUUGCACAAUGGGCGAAAGCCUGAUGCAGCAACGCCGCGUGGGGGAUGAAGGCUCUCGGGUUGUAAACCCCUUUCAGCAGGGACGAAUCUGACGGUACCUGCAGAAGAAGCCCCGGCCAACUACGUGCCAGCAGCCGCGGUAACACGUAGGGGGCAAGCGUUGUCCGGAUUUAUUGGGCGUAAAGAGCUCGUAGGCGGUUCGAUAAGUCGGGUGUGAAACCUCCAGGCUCAACCUGGAGACGCCACCCGAUACUGUUGUGACUGGAGUCCGGUAGGGGAGCGUGGAAUUCCUGGUGUAGCGGUGAAAUGCGCAGAUAUCAGGAGGAACACCAGCGGCGAAGGCGGCGCUCUGGGCCGGUACUGACGCUGAGGAGCGAAAGCGUGGGUAGCAAACAGGAUUAGAUACCCUGGUAGUCCACGCCGUAAACGUUGGGCACUAGGUGUGGGUCACAACCAACGUGAUCUGUGCCGUAGCUAACGCAUUAAGUGCCCCGCC
Molecule: ribosomal RNA, 627 nt
Filed under: uncultured bacterium
Lineage: Bacteria
Description: bacterial SSU rRNA
Rfam family: Bacterial small subunit ribosomal RNA
Source: RNAcentral